RNAcentral lists this ribosomal RNA (433 nucleotides) under uncultured bacterium. Its description in RNAcentral is "partial 16S ribosomal RNA". It matches the Rfam family "Bacterial small subunit ribosomal RNA", at positions 29 to 507 of the family's 1533-position model. The record is from RNAcentral.
AACGAACGCUGGCGGCAUGCCUAACACAUGCAAGUCGAACGAGACCUUCGGGUCUAGUUGCGCACGGGUGCGUAACGCGUGGGAACCUGCCCUUAGGUUCGGAAUAACUCCCCGAAAGGGGUGCUAAUACCGGUUAAUGUCUUCGGACCAAGGAUUUAUCGCCUUUGGAUGGGCCCGGGUUGGAUUAGCUAGUUGGUAGGGUAAAAGCCUACCAAGGCGACGAUCCAUAGCUGGUCUGAGAGGAUGAUCAGCCACACUGGGACUGAGACACGGCCCAGACUCCUACGGGAGGCAGCAGUGGGGAAUAUUGGACAAUGGGCGAUAGCCUGAUCCAGCAAUGCCGCGUGAGUGAUGAAGGCCUUAGGGUUGUAAAGCUCUUUUACCCGGGAUGAUAAUGACAGUACCGGGAGAAUAAGCUCCGGCUAACUCCGUG